CCUACGGGGAGCAGCAGUGAGGAAUCUUGGUCAAUGGUCGGGAGACUGAACCAGCCAAGCCGCGUGAGGGAUGAAGGUACAGAGUAUCGUAAACCUCUUUUGUCAGGGAACAAAGGCGGGGACGUGUCCCCGGAUGAGUGUACCUGGAGAAAAAGCAUCGGCUAACUCCGUGCCAGCAGCCGCGGUAAUACGGAGGAUGCGAGUGUUAUCCGGAUUUCGUGGGGUUAAGGGGUGCGCAGGCGGUCUGUUAAGUCAGCGGGCAAACCCCGGGGCUCAACCCCGGCCCGCGGUUGAAACUGGCAGUCUCGAGUUGGAGAGAAGUAUGCGGAAUGCGCGGUGUAGCGGUGAAAUGCAUAGAUAUCGCGCAGAACUCUGAUUGCGAAGGCAGCAUGCCGGCUCCACACUGACGCUGAGGCACGAAAGCGUGGGUAUCGAACAGGAUUAGAUACCCCUGUAGUC
Molecule: ribosomal RNA, 459 nt
Filed under: uncultured bacterium
Lineage: Bacteria
Description: partial 16S ribosomal RNA
Rfam family: Bacterial small subunit ribosomal RNA
Source: RNAcentral